AACGCACCUUGCGCUCCUUGGUAUUCCGAGGAGCAUGCCUGUUUGAGUGUCUUGAAGUCAUCAACCCCUUCCGUUUCGUGCGGAGGGCGGUUGGAUGUGGGGGCCCUGCUGCCGUGAGGCGGCUCCCCUCAAAUGCAUCGGUUGGGCCUGUGGGUCGAACUCGACUGGGCGUUGUACCAUCCUCGCUCGACAGAGAUGUUCCCCUCCUGCGCCCUCCCUCGACCUGCUGUCAGAGCGGCGGUCAAGCAAACAAACUUUGAAAUCUGACCUCAAAUCAGGUAGGACUACCCGCUGAACUUAA
This 301-nucleotide unclassified non-coding RNA is filed under the name uncultured fungus. RNAcentral's name for it is "partial contains 5.8S ribosomal RNA, internal transcribed spacer 2, and large subunit ribosomal RNA". The stretch from base 1 to 52 matches the Rfam family "5.8S ribosomal RNA", at positions 103 to 154 of the family's 154-position model. The record is from RNAcentral. Lineage: Eukaryota; Fungi.